This 616-nucleotide long non-coding RNA is filed under the name Ananas comosus (pineapple). Its description in RNAcentral is "long non-coding RNA (ACOM_LNC035064)". The record is from RNAcentral. Lineage: Eukaryota; Viridiplantae; Streptophyta; Magnoliopsida; Poales; Bromeliaceae.
GUAUCUCCUCAAUAUUAUGAGAAAUUAUAUAUAGCAUGUACUAACACUACAAUAGAAUUAGAUUAUAGGGACACAUUUUUGGAACACUUAUAUAUAAGUGUUCCAUUUAUGUCAAAACUUAAAAAAUAAACUACUAAUGUAUAAAUAUAAAGUCUAAUCCAAUCAAAAAUAAAAUGUUACUCUAUUCAACGCAUCCCACCCAGCCCAUUCGGCCCAAUUACAAACAGAAAAGAAAAAGAAAAGAAAAAUCGAUUACCAUUUUCCCUUCUCCCCUCACUCAAUCGACUGAAAUUCUAGACAAAGAUCCCUUCCUCUUGUCCUCCUCCGCCACCGCAACCAACGAGGUAGAGUUCCGGUGGUUGUUAAAUAUUUAAAUAAGUAUUGGUAAAUUAGCAGUACUUUUUUAGGUUAUAGCGACUCUUUAAUUGUCACUAUAUACCUAGCGACCCCACAUAUAGCAACAUUCUUUAAAAGUGUCGGUAAUUUAGCCAGCAGCAUUUUUUUUGACCUGUACCGAUAUUUAAAAGUGUCGCUAUAGACCGUUUUUGUUAUAGUGUAAGAUGCAUGCAUACAAAUUAACCUUCAUAAUAUAGGAACUGUUACUUUAUCUGUAUUU